GACGAACGCUGGCGGCGUGCUUAACACAUGCAAGUCGAGCGGUAAGGCCCUUUCGGGGGUACGACGAGCGGCGAACGGGUGAGUAACACGUGGGUGACCUGCCCUCAGCUCUGGGAUAAGCCUGGGAAACCGGGUCUAAUACUGGAUAUGACUCCAUGACGCAUGUUGUGGGGUGGAAAGCCUUGUGCGGCUGAGGAUGGGCCCGCGGCCUAUCAGCUUGUUGGUGGGGUGAGGCCUACCAAGGCGACGAUGGGUAGCCGGCCUGAGAGGGCGACCGGCCACACUGGGACUGAGACACGGCCCA
This 304-nucleotide ribosomal RNA is filed under the name uncultured bacterium. Its description in RNAcentral is "bacterial SSU rRNA". It matches the Rfam family "Bacterial small subunit ribosomal RNA", at positions 28 to 333 of the family's 1533-position model. The record is from RNAcentral.